GAUGAACGCUGGCGGCGUGCCUAAUACAUGCAAGUCGAGCGAACGGACGAGAAGCUUACUUCUCUGAUGUUAGCGGCGGACGGGUGAGUAACACGUGGAUAACCUACCUAUAAGACUGGGAUAACUUCGGGAAACCGGAGCUAAUACCGGAUAAUAUUUUGAACCGCAUGGUUCAAAAGUGAAAGACGGUCUUGCUGUCACUUAUAGAUGGAUCCGCGCUGCAUUAGCUAGUUGGUAAGGUAACGGCUUACCAAGGCAACGAUGCAUAGCCGACCUGAGAGGGUGAUCGGCCACACUGGAACUGAGACACGGUCCAGACUCCUACGGGAGGCAGCAGUAGGGAAUCUUCCGCAAUGGGCGAAAGCCUGACGGAGCAACGCCGCGUGAGUGAUGAAGGUAUUCGGAUCGUAAAACUCUGUUAUUAGGGAAGAACAUAUGUGUAAGUAACUGUGCACAUCUUGACGGUACCUAAUCAGAAAGCCACGGCUAACUACGUG
Molecule: ribosomal RNA, 497 nt
Filed under: uncultured bacterium
Lineage: Bacteria
Description: partial 16S ribosomal RNA
Rfam family: Bacterial small subunit ribosomal RNA
Source: RNAcentral